UACGUAGGUGGCGAGCGUUGUCCGGAUUUACUGGGCGUAAAGGAUGCGUAGGUGGAUACUUAAGUGGGAUGUGAAAUCCCCGGGCUUAACCCGGGAACUGCAUUCCAAACUGGGUAACUUGAGUGCAGGAGAGGAAAGCGGAAUUCCUAGUGUAGCGGUGAAAUGCGUAGAUAUUAAGAAGAACACCAGUGGCGAAGGCGGCUUUCUGGACUGUAACUGACGCUGAGGCAUGAAAGCGUGGGGAGCAAACAGG
RNAcentral lists this ribosomal RNA (253 nucleotides) under uncultured bacterium. Its description in RNAcentral is "partial 16S ribosomal RNA". It matches the Rfam family "Bacterial small subunit ribosomal RNA", at positions 524 to 776 of the family's 1533-position model. The record is from RNAcentral.